This 702-nucleotide ribosomal RNA is filed under the name uncultured haloarchaeon. RNAcentral's name for it is "bacterial SSU rRNA". It matches the Rfam family "Archaeal small subunit ribosomal RNA", at positions 621 to 1320 of the family's 1478-position model. The record is from RNAcentral. Lineage: Archaea; Methanobacteriati; Methanobacteriota; Halobacteria; Halobacteriales; Halobacteriaceae.
CCGGGGUAGGAGUGAAAUCCUGUAAUCCUGGACGGACCGCCGGUGGCGAAAGCGCCUCAGGAAGACGGACCCGACGGUAAGGGACGAAAGCUAGGGUCUCGAACCGGAUUAGAUACCCGGGUAGUCCUAGCUGUAAACGAUGCUCGCUAGGUGUGCCGCAGGCUACGAGCCUGCGCUGUGCCGUAGGGAAGCCGUGAAGCGAGCCGCCUGGGAAGUACGUCUGCAAGGAUGAAACUUAAAGGAAUUGGCGGGGGAGCACUACAACCGGAGGAGCCUGCGGUUUAAUUGGACUCAACGCCGGACAUCUCACCAGCACCGACAAUGUGCAGUGAAGGUCAGGUUGAUGACCUUACUGGAGCCAUUGAGAGGAGGUGCAUGGCCGCCGUCAGUUCGUACCGUGAGGCGUCCUGUUAAGUCAGGCAACGAGCGAGACCCGCACUCUUAGUUGCCAGCAGCAUCUUGCGAUGGCUGGGUACACUAGGAGGACCGCCGCUGCCAAAGCGGAGGAAGGAACGGGCAACGGUAGGUCAGUAUGCCCCGAAUGUGCUGGGCUACACGCGGGCUACAAUGGCCGGGACAGUGGGACGCCAGUCCGAGAGGACGCGCUAAUCCCCGAAACCCGGUCGUAGUUCGGAUUGAGGGCUGAAACCCGCCCUCAUGAAGCUGGAUUCGGUAGUAAUCGCGUGUCAGAAGCGCGCGGUG